Gossypium arboreum is the source of this 102-nucleotide small nucleolar RNA. It matches the Rfam family "Plant small nucleolar RNA R71". Rfam says of the family: R71 is a member of the C/D box family of snoRNAs containing the C (UGAUGA) and D (CUGA) box motifs. Multiple nearly identical copies of this snoRNA have been identified in Arabidopsis, and it is thought to function as a 2'-O-ribose methylation guide for 18S ribosomal RNA. NCBI's taxonomy places the organism in Eukaryota, Viridiplantae, Streptophyta, Magnoliopsida, Malvales, Malvaceae. The record is from Rfam.
AACCCAUGGUGAGGGCACCUUCUUAGUAAGUCCUUGUAUCUCUCCCAUGCAUCAUAAAGUGUUUCUAAAUCCAUUUGCACAAAGCUGUUUUAGUCAGAGGAA